AUGCCACUGUCUCCCAGAAACUGGUAUUUCAGUAACCGUAUCAAUAUCACGAAAAAAACUUUUAUACUUGUCUUUUGCAUUUUCGUAUUGUGCAUCUUACUUCUUAUCUUCAGUUGGUCGUGGUACCCAAAUACAAAAUUUGUAAUAGACAGUCGUAUAAGAAGUUGGAGGGAUCAGCUCCCAUUGAUGGAAUUGUAUAACGUAAACUGUGAUACGUGUGUCACUAAUUGGGAUGCGCUUUUAGCAUCCGACACUUUAACUGGUGAUGAACUUUUGCAAUACUUUUUGUGGACCAAUCAAUCAUCUUGUCAGUUAUCCCACGACUUUGGUGGUAUCAUGAUGAGUAACCCUUCUGGAUUGGCUGGACAAAAGGCCGUAUGCAUAGAUAAAAAAAUAGCGCCUCAGCCUGGCAAAUGUCUUGUUUACUCUUUUGGAAUAAACAACGAGUGGUCUUUCGACGAAAACAUGGCACGCUACGGAUGCGAGGUGUUUGCUUUCGAUCCAUCAAUGGGGCUAGAUAAACAUGAUCAUAUUCCCGGAAACGUUCAUUUCUACAACUGGGGCCUAGGCGACCGCGAUGAACAUGACUACCGCUUCAACUGGACAAUUCGUUCACUCUCUUCAAUCUACGAAACACUUUCUCCUCUUCAUGGAUACAAAAUUAUUGACUACUUGAAAAUAGACAUUGAAUAUUCAGAAUGGAUAACACUGCCGAAUAUCAUAGCUUCCGGUAUGCUGUCUAAAAUCCGACAAAUGGGCAUGGAGAUACAUUUAGAUGGUCAAGAUUCAUUAGAACAGCACCGCGAAUGGGCCAAGCUUCUAAGAUCAAUUGAGAAAAUGGUAUUUUAUGGAAAAGCAGCUGCUUUCAUACUUUUAUUUCAAUUUCCCGUCGCCUUCGUUACCUCACACACCGUGUAGUCUGCAUAUUAGCUGAUACCUUCUGCUACAAACGUCAAUUAAGAAACAAGGAUUUAUCGAUGGUGGGAAUGGAACCAUACAACUUUAUAUUGGCAGUCUUCUACUCUACCGCUACGCGACAUUAGAUAUCAUCAAACAACCUAAUUCAUAAUAAAUGCGGAUAAGAUAG
Molecule: unclassified non-coding RNA, 1087 nt
Filed under: Daphnia magna
Lineage: Eukaryota; Metazoa; Arthropoda; Branchiopoda; Diplostraca; Daphniidae
Description: methyltransferase-like protein 24, transcript variant X9
Source: RNAcentral